RNAcentral lists this ribosomal RNA (420 nucleotides) under uncultured Nitrososphaerota archaeon. RNAcentral describes it as "bacterial SSU rRNA". It matches the Rfam family "Archaeal small subunit ribosomal RNA", at positions 459 to 879 of the family's 1478-position model. Lineage: Archaea; Thermoproteati; Nitrososphaerota. The record is from RNAcentral.
CAGCCGCCGCGGUAAAACCAGCACCUCAAGUGGUCAGGAUGAUUAUUGGGCCUAAAGCAUCCGUAGCCGGCUCUGUAAGUUUUCGGUUAAAUCUGUACGCUUAACGUACAGGCUGCCGGGAAUACUGCAAAGCUAGGGAGUGGGAGAAGUAGACGGUACUCGGUAGGAAGUGGUAAAAUGCUUUGAUCUAUCGAUGACCACCUGUGGCGAAGGCGGUCUACUAGAACACGUCCGACGGUGAGGGAUGAAAGCUGGGGGAGCAAACCGGAUUAGAUACCCGGGUAGUCCCAGCUGUAAACUAUGCAAACUCAGUGAUGCAUUGGCUUGUGGCCAAUGCAGUGCUGCAGGGAAGCCGUUAAGUUUGCCGCCUGGGAAGUACGUGCGCAAGUAUGAAACUUAAAGGAAUUGGCGGGGGAGCAC